GCGGACGUAGUGCACGGUGCACCGCUGCCAUCUGUGAAAUGGGAUAGUUUAAUUGUACAGUGAAGCAGCUCCGGGGUUCGACUCCCCGCGUCCGCA
Molecule: non-coding RNA, 96 nt
Organism: Mycena leptocephala
Lineage: Eukaryota; Fungi; Basidiomycota; Agaricomycetes; Agaricales; Mycenaceae
Source: the annotation of a GenBank genome assembly